Molecule: ribosomal RNA, 253 nt
Filed under: uncultured bacterium
Lineage: Bacteria
Description: partial 16S ribosomal RNA
Rfam family: Bacterial small subunit ribosomal RNA
Source: RNAcentral
UACGUAGGUGGCAAGCGUUGUCCGGAUUUAUUGGGUUUAAAGGGUGCGUAGGCGGUUUUCUAAGUCAGCAGUGAAAUACGGCAGCUCAACUGUCGAGGUGCUGUUGAUACUGGGGAACUUGAGUACUGAUGAGGUAGGCGGAAUGGACGGUGUAGCGGUGAAAUGCUUAGAGAUCGUCCAGAACACCGAUAGCGAAGGCAGCUUACUAAGGAGUAGCUGACGCUGAGGCACGAAAGUGUGGGGAUCAAACAGG